Molecule: ribosomal RNA, 466 nt
Filed under: uncultured bacterium
Lineage: Bacteria
Description: bacterial SSU rRNA
Rfam family: Bacterial small subunit ribosomal RNA
Source: RNAcentral
GACGAACGCUGGCGGCGUGCUUAAAACAUGCAAGUCGAACGGACUUCUCAUGAAGCUUGCGAUUGAGAAGUUAGUGGCGGACGGGUGAGUAACGCGUGGGCAACCUGCCCCUGAGCCCGGGAUAACAGUUCGAAAGGACUGCUAAGACCGGAUAUACUUGCGGUGAAGCAUUUCACUGCAAGGAAAGGGAACGCUCAGGGAUGGGCCCGCGUCCCAUUAGCUAGUUGGUGAGGUAACGGCCCACCAAGGCGACGAUGGGUAGCCGACCUGAGAGGGUGAUCGGCCACAUUGGAACUGAGAGACGGUCCAAACUCCUACGGGAGGCAGCAGUGGGGAAUAUUGGGCAAUGGGCGAAAGCCUGACCCAGCAACGCCGCGUGAAGGAAGAAGGUCUUCGGAUCGUAAACUUCUAAUCCCCGGUGAAGAUAAUGACGGUAACCGGGAAGGAAGCCCCGGCUAACUACGUG